GGUUUGUGAGGUCUUACCCACUCUGGGCAGCAUCAAGAGAGCAUGUUAGCCUGCACCAGUUGUCCUUGGGGAUGCUGAGCAAGUCCUGCGUCCGGUCACGAAGAGGAGGCAGCUGCAAGAGCCAUGGGGAUCUCGAGGGCGAGCGGCACAAAGGCACCAGCGAAGGCGAAGAGCAGCAUUAGCCGGAAACGCAAGAGUGAGUUGGACAAGGGGCAGGAUGUGCCGAAGAUGCCCAGAGGAAAGGCUGUGAAGAAGGAGCUGGAGGAAACUCUGUGCAYGGAUCAGGCCCCUGCCUCAAAAGGGAAGAAGAAAACGCCCAAAGUCAAGGAGAAGCCACUGCAGGAAAACAUCAUCAGCAGCUCUCUAAAGCAAGAGGCUGCAGAAGGCAAAGGUCCUAGCUCAACUCCGUGUGAUGGGAUCCGAGUGAAAGAGGAAGCCGUGUCUGAACCGGUACGUGGCAAYGUCUCUGCCGAAGGAUUAAGGAGCACUCGUGUAGUUUGCUUUCAAGGGAGCUGUGAGGAUGGAAUCUGAUACCUUGUGGUUGGGUAUGAGCCCCUAAAAGGGUUCCUUUGAACACCUUGAAUUAAAU
Molecule: long non-coding RNA, 589 nt
Filed under: Dromaius novaehollandiae (emu)
Lineage: Eukaryota; Metazoa; Chordata; Aves; Casuariiformes; Dromaiidae
Description: lncRNA (ENSDNVG00000019072.1)
Source: RNAcentral